Molecule: ribosomal RNA, 505 nt
Filed under: swine fecal bacterium FPC68
Lineage: Bacteria
Description: bacterial SSU rRNA
Rfam family: Bacterial small subunit ribosomal RNA
Source: RNAcentral
GAGAGUUUGAUUCUGGCUCAGGACGAACGCUGGCGGCGUGCCUAAUACAUGCAAGUCGAACGAAGCUUUCUUUCACCGAAUGCUUGCAUUCACCGAAAGAAGCUUAGUGGCGAACGGGUGAGUAACACGUAGGCAACCUGCCCAAAAGAGGGGGAUAACACUUGGAAACAGGUGCUAAUACCGCAUAACCAUGAACACCGCAUGAUGUUCAUGUAAAAGACGGCUUUUGCUGUCACUUUUGGAUGGGCCUGCGGCGUAUUAACUUGUUGGUGGGGUAACGGCCUACCAAGGUGAUGAUACGUAGCCGAACUGAGAGGUUGAUCGGCCACAUUGGGACUGAGACACGGCCCAAACUCCUACGGGAGGCAGCAGUAGGGAAUCUUCCACAAUGGACGAAAGUCUGAUGGAGCAACGCCGCGUGAAUGAAGAAGGCCUUCGGGUCGUAAAAUUCUGUUAUCAGAGAAGAACGUGCGUGAGAGUAACUGUUCACGUAUUGACGGUAUCU